GAAGAGAAAAACCGAUAACCAAUCAAAAGAGACAAACACUGAGGAUGCUGUCGAACCAAACGACACAGUGUUGCUCAUCGCCGACGAGUGCACGCUCUGUUUCCACUGCAAAAAGAAUUUGUUGGAAGGAGAGACACUUUACAAGCCGAAAGACACAGAGGAGUUUUUUUGCUCCAUGGCCUGCUUACAUGAAAAGCGUUGCGAGAUCAAAAUACCCAUCAAAAAGUGCCACAACUGCUUUCAGGUGAUUGCGCGACCUCAAAACAUCAUCCUGGCUCCGGUGGAUGAUUCGGGAACUAUGAAGGAGUUGUGCAGCGAUACAUGUCUCUCCUCCGUCACAUCCAAAAUGAAAAAGGCUGCUACUAAGC
Molecule: non-coding RNA, 368 nt
Organism: Maylandia zebra (zebra mbuna)
Lineage: Eukaryota; Metazoa; Chordata; Actinopteri; Cichliformes; Cichlidae
Source: RefSeq, a predicted model, not a curated record